Molecule: long non-coding RNA, 222 nt
Filed under: Elaeis guineensis (African oil palm)
Lineage: Eukaryota; Viridiplantae; Streptophyta; Magnoliopsida; Arecales; Arecaceae
Description: long non-coding RNA (EGUI_LNC058888)
Source: RNAcentral
GCACAUUGUAUUAACUCAAGUUCCUAAAUUGAUUUAGAUCAAAGUGUUUGAGCUAACCUAGACCAUGGGAUUGGAUCAAUUUAGAUUGGAUCUUUAUCUAACUUAAAAUAGUUUCAAGUGGAGAAGGACUUUUCUGCACCCACCAAAAGCCAUGCCAAAAGUAAAUGCCGCCCCACCUCUUUUUAACGUGUGAAGUUGGAGAGUCCUUCUUCAUGAAGGCUC